UGCAGUCGAGCGAUGGAUGUGGCUUGCUCCUUGGAUUAGUGGGGAACGGAUGAGUAACACGUGAAUAACCUGCCCUUAAUUUUGGAUUAACCCAGGGAAACCUGGGCUACUACCGGAUAAAUCAACCUGUGGAAUCACAUGGUUUUGGAAAGUUUUUCUAUUAAAGAUGGAUUCGCGGCCUAUCUGCUUGUUGGUGAGGUAAUGGCUCACCAAUGCGACGACGGGUAGCCGGCCUGAGAGGGUGAACGGCCACACUGGGACUGAGACACGGCCCAGACUCCUACGGGAGGCAGCCCUGGGGAAUAUUGCACAAUGGACGAAAGUCUGACCCAGCGACGCCUCGUGAGGGACGAAGGUCUUCGGAUUGUAAACCUCUUUCAUUCGGAACGAAGCGAAAGUGACGGUACCUGCAAAAGAAGCACCGGCUAACUAUGUGCCAUUGACCGCGGUAAUACAUAAGGUGCAAGCGUUGUCCGGAUUUAUUGCCCGUAAAGAGUUCGUAUGCGGUUUCUCGCGUCGAAUGUGAAAACUCAAGGCUCAACCCUGAGCCUGUUUUCGAUACAGGGAAACUUGAGGACGGCAGGGGAGACUGGAACUCCUGGUGUAGCGGUGGAAUGCGCAGAUGUCAAGA
Molecule: ribosomal RNA, 631 nt
Filed under: uncultured bacterium
Lineage: Bacteria
Description: bacterial SSU rRNA
Rfam family: Bacterial small subunit ribosomal RNA
Source: RNAcentral